AUUACCCCUUCUUUUCUUUCUUUUGGGGAGAUAUUUUUGUAUGAUUAUAGCAAUUAGUGCUUUUGAGUGUACAUAUUUGUAAUGGCAAAAUUGAUAUUUCACUUAUCUGUUGUUAAAAAAUAAAUAGUUCUAUAGCGGUAACAAGCCGAAGGGACAAAUGUGAAUAUUACUAGAAAUAUGAGUUAAAAGUUGAAGUUUGUAGGGAUAUAUUUAUUAUUAGAUAUGUUUACAGAAAGCUGUAUGCAAUUAACCCUAAUUAAUAAUAAUAAUAAAGACUUUAACCACUGUUAUCUUAAAUUAAAAAAAUUAAUUUAAAAUUAAUCGCACUUACAUCUUGUUUUUUU
RNAcentral lists this long non-coding RNA (344 nucleotides) under Ananas comosus (pineapple). RNAcentral's name for it is "long non-coding RNA (ACOM_LNC003003)". Lineage: Eukaryota; Viridiplantae; Streptophyta; Magnoliopsida; Poales; Bromeliaceae. The record is from RNAcentral.